CAGUAGCCGCGGUAAUACGAGGGGGGCAAGCGUUGUUCGGAAUUAUUGGGCGUAAAGGGCGCGUAGGCGGUUUGGCAAGUUUGGUGUGAAAUCUUCGGGCUCAACUCGAAGUCUGCACCGAAAACUGCCGGGCUUGAGUAUGGGAGAGGUGAGUGGAAUUUCCGGUGUAGCGGUGAAAUGCGUAGAUAUCGGAAGGAACACCUGUGGCGAAAGCGGCUCACUGGACCAUUACUGACGCUGAGGCGCGAAAGCUAGGGGAGCAAACAGGAUUAGAUACCCGGGUAGUCCCUGUCUCUUAUAC
Molecule: ribosomal RNA, 301 nt
Filed under: uncultured bacterium
Lineage: Bacteria
Description: partial 16S ribosomal RNA
Rfam family: Bacterial small subunit ribosomal RNA
Source: RNAcentral